GACGAAGGGGGCUAGCGUUGUUCGGAAUUACUGGGCGUAAAGCGAGUGUAGGUGGUUGUCCAAGUUGGAUGUGAAAGCCUUGAGCUCAACUCAAGAAAUGCAUUCAGGACUGGGCGGCUAGAGGACCGGAGAGGAUAGUGGAAUUCCCAGUGUAGUGGUGAAAUACGUAGAGAUUGGGAAGAACACCAGUGGCGAAGGCGGCUAUCUGGACGGUUUCUGACACUAAGACUCGAAAGCGUGGGGAGCGAUCCGG
Molecule: ribosomal RNA, 253 nt
Filed under: uncultured bacterium
Lineage: Bacteria
Description: partial 16S ribosomal RNA
Rfam family: Bacterial small subunit ribosomal RNA
Source: RNAcentral